GCUGGGUGUGGUGGUGCACACCUGUAAUCCCAGCUAUUUGGGAGGCUGAGGCAGGAGAAUUACUUGAACCCAGGAGGCGAAGGUUGCAGUGAGCCAAGAUCAUGCCACUGCAGUCCAGCCUGGGUGACAGAGUGAGACUCCGUCUCAA
RNAcentral lists this small RNA (148 nucleotides) under Pongo abelii (Sumatran orangutan). RNAcentral's name for it is "Metazoan signal recognition particle RNA (ENSPPYG00000038253.1)". The record is from Rfam by way of RNAcentral. Lineage: Eukaryota; Metazoa; Chordata; Mammalia; Primates; Hominidae.